AGCCAACAUCUCACCAGCUCACAGUCUACAGAAAGAGCAUAUGUUUUCCCUGAUAGUUCCAGCCACUGUCCCAGGGAGGCCCUUCGUUGCCAGGAGGCUCAUAAACGCUGCCUUAUGAGUGUGUCAUUCCUGGAGCACACCUGCCGUAUAGCAUCAUUGCAUCAUAACGCCCACCAGGAGCAGAUUGCCAGGCCACAUUCUCUGGGUGUGAGCAACAACAACAAGAAAACCCGUGGCUAGUACUUCAGUCAACAAAUUGGCAUUCGAAAGCAUGUCAGCGUUAGUACAGACGUCAUCAGUGAAUGAGAAAGCAAAGAGCCCGUGGCCGCACCUAAUAAAAGGCCAGCAGGGAGA
Molecule: long non-coding RNA, 354 nt
Organism: Cebus imitator (Panamanian white-faced capuchin)
Lineage: Eukaryota; Metazoa; Chordata; Mammalia; Primates; Cebidae
Exons: 2
Source: RefSeq, a predicted model, not a curated record